RNA transcript from Dalotia coriaria, 1082 nucleotides. RefSeq lists it as uncharacterized. Lineage: Eukaryota; Metazoa; Arthropoda; Insecta; Coleoptera; Staphylinidae. The record is from RefSeq and is a predicted model, not a curated record. The transcript is spliced from 11 exons.
UUGAACCACAUUGAAGAGUACUUCGCAAACUUUUCAGCAAUGGGAGGUUUUCUUGCUAAUCAUUCUUUAAUUUCUUCGCUAAUUAAUAUGACAGUAUCAUAUGUCAUUGUUAUAAUCCAAAAGUACCAAACAAAUUGAAUGGAGAAGUAUUACAAAAUAUACUAUGCUACAGUUAUCUACCUGGUGUCCCCAACUUGAUGUUUACGCCGGCUGAUAAUUUUCUUUCCUGUUUAGUCGGUCGUGCGCGGUGGUGUCGUGACCACGUGUUUUGUUUGUGAGUCUCUCUUCAUAGUUAUUAAUUGCGUGUCUUGAAGUUUUAAUGUGAUAAUGCGGGCGAACGCCAUAACGCAGGAUAACGGUUCUCUCCCCAAAUUCGGGCGAACGCCAUGUCGGAGGACAACCGUUCUUUUACCAAAUUGUAGCGGGCGAACGCCAUGUCGGAGGACAACCGUUCUUUUACUAAAUUCGGGCGAACGCCAUAUUGCAGGACAACCCCUUUUUCACCAAAUUGUAGCGGGCGAACGCCAUAUCGGAAGACAACCCUUCUGUCACCAAAUUCGGGCGCACGCCGUGUCUGAGAACAACCGUUCUUGCACAAAAAUGGAUUUUGCACCUGAGUCUGACAUCGUAGAAAGACCAUUCGGGUAUCAGAUUGUAAGUACUUAGUUCCUUUAUCAUUUUCCUAAAUAACUUUUAUGAUUAUCGUACAAAUUGACCCCCAAAAUUGCAUUUUUAUGUUCGAAGAACUAAUUUUUUAUGGUUUUAUGAACUUUGCACCUGAGUCUGACAUCGUAGAAGGACCAUUCUGGUAUCAGAUUGUAGGAAUUUUGCACCUGAGUCUGACAUCGUAGAAGGACCAUUCUGGUAUCUGAUUGUAGGAAUUUUGCACCAGAGUCUGACAUCGUAGAAGGACCAUUCUGAUAUCAGAUUGGAUUUUGCACUUGACUCUAGAAGGACCAUUCUUGCAUCAGAUUGUUAGUAUUAAAUUUCAUUAUCUUAAAUAACUUUUGUGAUUAUUACAUAAAAUGUUUCCCAAAUUGUAUGCUUGUGUGUUUUCUUUAUUAAAGAAUAUUUUUAAGUUU